This 542-nucleotide ribosomal RNA is filed under the name uncultured bacterium. RNAcentral's name for it is "partial 16S ribosomal RNA". It matches the Rfam family "Bacterial small subunit ribosomal RNA", at positions 355 to 885 of the family's 1533-position model. The record is from RNAcentral.
UGGGGAAUAUUGCACAAUGGGCGCAAGCCUGAUGCAGCCAUGCCGCGUGUGUGAAGAAGGCCUUCGGGUUGUAAAGCACUUUCAGCGAGGAGGAAGGUGGUGGACUUAAUACGUUCAUCAAUUGACGUUACUCGCAGAAGAAGCACCGGCUAACUCCGUGCCAGCAGCCGCGGUAAUACGGAGGGUGCAAGCGUUAAUCGGAAUUACUGGGCGUAAAGCGCACGCAGGCGGUUUGUUAAGUCAGAUGUGAAAUCCCCGGGCUCAACCUGGGAACUGCAUUUGAAACUGGCAAGCUAGAGUCUCGUAGAGGGGGGUAGAAUUCCAGGUGUAGCGGUGAAAUGCGUAGAGAUCUGGAGGAAUACCGGUGGCGAAGGCGGCCCCCUGGACGAAGACUGACGCUCAGGUGCGAAAGCGUGGGGCAGCAAACAGGAUUAGAUACCCUGGUAGUCCACGCUGUAAACGAUGUCGAUUUUGGAGGUUGUGCCCCUUGAGGCGUGGCUUCCGGAGCCUAACGCGUUAAAUCGACCGCCUGGGGAGUACGG